CCUACGGGUGGCUGCAGUCGAGAAUCAUUCACAAUGGGGGAAACCCUGAUGGUGCGACGCCGCGUGGGGGAAUGAAGGUCUUCGGAUUGUAAACCUCUGUCAUGUGGGAGCAAAUGAAAAAGAUAGCACCCCACGAGGAAGAGACGGCUAACCCUCUGCCAGAAGCCGCGGGAAUCCAGAGGUCUCAAGCGGUGUUCGGAAUCACUGGGCGUAAAGCGUGCGUAGGCUGUUUCGUGAGUCGAGUGUGAAAGGCGCGGGUUCAACCCGCGGCCGGCACAUGAUACUGCGGGACUAGAGUAAUGGAGAGGGAACCGGAAUGCUCGGUGUAGCAGUGAAAUGCGUAGAUAUCGAGAAGAACACUCGUGGCGAAGGCAGGUUCCUGGACAUUAACUGACGCUGAGGCACGAAGGCCAGGGGAGCGAAAGGGAUUAGAUACCCGAGUAGUC
This 446-nucleotide ribosomal RNA is filed under the name uncultured bacterium. RNAcentral describes it as "partial 16S ribosomal RNA". It matches the Rfam family "Bacterial small subunit ribosomal RNA", at positions 338 to 795 of the family's 1533-position model. The record is from RNAcentral.